RNAcentral lists this ribosomal RNA (404 nucleotides) under uncultured bacterium. RNAcentral describes it as "bacterial SSU rRNA". It matches the Rfam family "Bacterial small subunit ribosomal RNA", at positions 355 to 774 of the family's 1533-position model. The record is from RNAcentral.
UGAGGGAUAUUGGGCAAUGGGCGCAAGCCUGACCCAGCGACGCCGCGUGGAGGACGACGGGCUUCGGCUCGUAAACUCCUUUUCCCGGGGACGAGACAAGGACGGUACCCGGGGAAUAAGUCUCGGCUAACUACGUGCCAGCAGCCGCGGUAAUACGAAGGGGGCUAGCGUUGUUCGGAAUUACUGGGCGUAAAGGGAGCGUAGGCGGCCUGUUUAGUCAGAAGUGAAAGCCCCGGGCUCAACCUGGGAAUAGCUUUUGAUACUGGCAGGCUUGAGUUCCGGAGAGGAUGGUGGAAUUCCCAGUGUAGAGGUGAAGUUCGUAGAUAUUGGGAAGAACACCGGUGGCGAAGGCGGCCAUCUGGACGGACACUGACGCUGAGGCGCGAAAGCGUGGGGAGCAAACA